This 770-nucleotide ribosomal RNA is filed under the name Bacillus cereus. RNAcentral describes it as "bacterial SSU rRNA". The record is from RNAcentral. Lineage: Bacteria; Bacillati; Bacillota; Bacilli; Caryophanales; Bacillaceae.
CGAGCGAAUGGAUYMMGAGCUUGCUCUUAUGAAGUUAGCGGCGGACGGGUGAGUAACACGUGGGUAACCUGCCCAUAAGACUGGGAUAACUCCGGGAAACCGGGGCUAAUACCGGAUAACAUUUUGAACCGCAUGGUUCGAAAUUGAAAGGCGGCUUCGGCUGUCACUUAUGGAUGGACCCGCGUCGCAUUAGCUAGUUGGUGAGGUAACGGCUCACCAAGGCAACGAUGCGUAGCCGACCUGAGAGGGUGAUCGGCCACACUGGGACUGAGACACGGCCCAGACUCCUACGGGAGGCAGCAGUAGGGAAUCUUCCGCAAUGGACGAAAGUCUGACGGAGCAACGCCGCGUGAGUGAUGAAGGCUUUCGGGUCGUAAAACUCUGUUGUUAGGGAAGAACAAGUGCUAGUUGAAUAAGCUGGCACCUUGACGGUACCUAACCAGAAAGCCACGGCUAACUACGUGCCAGCAGCCGCGGUAAUACGUAGGUGGCAAGCGUUAUCCGGAAUUAUUGGGCGUAAAGCGCGCGCAGGUGGUUUCUUAAGUCUGAUGUGAAAGCCCACGGCUCAACCGUGGAGGGUCAUUGGAAACUGGGAGACUUGAGUGCAGAAGAGGAAAGUGGAAUUCCAUGUGUAGCGGUGAAAUGCGUAGAGAUAUGGAGGAACACCAGUGGCGAAGGCGACUUUCUGGUCUGUAACUGACACUGAGGCGCGAAAGCGUGRGGAGCAAACAGGAUUAGAUACYCUGGUAGUCCACGYCGUAAAYGAUGAG